UACGGAGGGUGCAAACGUUGCUCGGAAUUAUUGGGCGUAAAGCGCACGUAGGCGGCCGACUAAGUCGGGUGUGAAAGCCCAGGGCUCAACCCUGGAAGUGCACUCGAAACUGGUCGGCUUGAAUAUGGAAGAGGGUCGCGGAAUUCCCGGUGUAGUGGUGGAAUGCGUAGAGAUCGGGAGGAACACCAGUGGCGAAGGCGGCGACCUGGACCUGUGCUGACGCUGAGGCGCGAAAGCGUGGGGAGCGAUCCGG
Molecule: ribosomal RNA, 253 nt
Filed under: uncultured bacterium
Lineage: Bacteria
Description: partial 16S ribosomal RNA
Rfam family: Bacterial small subunit ribosomal RNA
Source: RNAcentral